GACGUGAGGUACGUGUGUAGCGGUCGAUAGAGCUUCCGACCCAGGUUAUUUCGGUAUAGUUAUUACCCUUAUUGUUUCAGUUGUUAUAGCUUAGAUAGUUAUAUGGUUCAGUAUUUUUAUUACAUUUGAAAAUAUGGAUUUUCGUAAAUGUAAUAAACGGAUUUCUGGAUUUUGUAAAAUAAAAGGUUUUCUACCCCUCGUGGUAGCGUUUUUAAAGAAUAAAGGUUUCCGUGUAGGAAACAGUUUUCAAAAGGUUUUCUGUGGAUUUUGCAUCUUAGUAUUUCAAAACCUGUUUCUGUGGUUGGAAACAUUUUAACUGAUAGAUGUGGAUUUAUGUUUACAUAUCGAAUAUAUAAAUGUGAACCUGUGAUGUGAAUGGUAUAUGAAUAUAUAAUUGUUGGUUAUUUGUAUGUUCAUUUGGUUAUGGUUGUACCUGGGUUACUUCUUGUAUUUGUGUGACGCCGUGCGAAUACAGGGGAGAUUCUGUCCGUGCGAACAGUGGAUUCCCUGUGUUUGUGGCGGAUCUGACAUACUCUGGGGUCAGGCUUUUCAAAAAAAAAAAAAAAAAAAAAUUUAGACGCUUUUCCGCUGUGUUCAAAGAAAAAGGGACCCCGGGGCGUGACACGUUGUAAAUUGGUAUCAUCACAGUAUUCGUGUGAUGGAUACCCCAGGUAGUUUAAAGUUCAGUUACGCUCGUGAUGAGAUGCCUAGCGUAUUUUUUUUACAGUAGCAUUCAGACUGUUCUGUACUGUUGGGUGCCAUCGGGGUUGACGGUGGACCCAUAUCGUUGUUUUGGCGUUGGAUUGUGCCGAGGGCACGUGACCUGUUGGUUGUUAUACCAGUUAGAGUCGGUUACUUGACUUUGGCUUGUGAGAGCCAGAUUGAGCUCGACAGAGAUACGCUGCAUACUCGGUUGGGUAGCUCUCACGAGUGCCACUCCGGAGACGGGCGCUGUGCUUUCGCAUUGGUGUCGUUCAUUGCCGGUUGGACUUGCUCUCCACGGACUUGAUAGUGUGGAGAUAGCUGGAUAGUCCCAACUGAGCGGGACGGGUGUAUUCACAGUCCCUGGGACGGGUAUGUUUACAGUCCCUAAAGAGAUUGGGUCGGGAUUGACUUUUCUACAGUAGGCUAGUUUAGAGCAUGAUAGUGUAAUAACGCGUAGCUGUAGAUUUUAUUCCAGCAUUUAUUACUAUCUUCGCUCCUUUCUAUAGACUUAGUGGGUGGACCGAUGAUGUUGAGGGCUGCACCCACUGAGGACUACUUGUUUUUACAGUAGUUCUUACGCCCUGUUGUUAUCCCGUUUUUGCAGAACCAUCGUCUUCGGUUGCUGCUGUUGCUAAUCAGGAUCGAGGCAAGGGCGUUGCGAGCUAGAGCCCUACCCGAUGAGUCGCGGUGAUAGAGGAUCCCCUACUACAGGUAGUCAUACUUUUGGUUUUUGAGUUCAUGUACAUACAGUUAUUGUAACUCGCUGGAGUGAGUACUUUUGGUAUAGUUUUAUGUAUGUAUAUGAGACUUAUUUUAUUCUACCCGUUUAGUUUCUUUACAGCUCUAUACUACUGUUUGUAGUAUUGUAUGUUUUACAGGUACAGUCAUCACUUCGUAUACAGAAAAAAUUUCUUUGUAUACGACGGAUUUGUCGGCGUGCCCGGGGAACGUGUAAUCCGAGGCGUAACAGGACAAUUUACGUAAAAAAAAAAAAUGACAAAUACUUAAUUUGUCGGCCAUUGGAUUAGAUCCAAUGACAUAAAUUAAUACAUUUUAUAAUAAUUCGAAAAUAAAAUAUAAAUUGUACGGUUAUGAUUUAAAUCCAUAAAAGUUAAAUUAUUGACAUUGUUAGUACGUGAUUAGAAUUAUAUUAAUAGGGGUUAGCAUUUUGGAAAAGAAAAAAAAUUUUAAAACUCACUUUUUAUAAGUAGUAUAGAAUUUAGUACACCUAGGCAAGUUCAAGCCCAAAUCAGAUUUAAACAAUUUCAAGUCCAAAUUACAAUUUAAGCAAGUUCAAACCCAAAUCACUUAAGUUGGUUCUUUUAUUAGCCCAGUGAAUUUAUCACAAUCGUAAGUAUAAAUCUAAAUACACUAUAAGCCGAAAUUAAACAGUCUUGCCCAUAUUUAAUCUAAGCAAUCCAAAUCCCAAAUAACAAUAUUUCUGUUUAUGCUUAAGUUUAGCCACAAUCUCAAUAGAAGAGAUAAAAAUCCUGAAAAAAACUUAAAACGUAAAACAGUAUAAAGGCAAAUUAAAAAAAAAAAAAAUUUUAAGUGAGAUCUACCUUUCUAAUUGUGGUGAAGGUAGCCAAGGCAACAAUGUGCCCGUGCUGGUGAUGACGACGAGGAGAACGAUGACGAUGAGCCGGCCGCGGAGUCAAAUGAAAAAGGAUAUUACUAAAAAUUAUUUGGAAUAUUUGAAAAAAAUAUAGAUGAAAAUAAAAAAAAAGAUAUUACUAACAAAAUAUAUAUUUUAUAUUUGAUAAAUUUAUAAAUGUAAAUGAGAAAAUACUAAAAAAAGGAUAUAAUAAAACAGUAUAAAAGCAUAUUAAAAAAAAUUCAGUUUAGAUCAAAAUACCUCUCCAAAGGUGGCGAAGGCGACAACAUGCCCGUGUCGGCGAUGACUAUGACAAUAUGCCGGUAACAGCGACGGGAACAAAUAAGAAAGAAUAUUAGUAAAAGAACUAUUUGACAAUAUUUGAAAAAAAAUACACGUGAAAAUGAAAAAAAAAAUAUUACUAAAAAAAUAUACCGAUGGCUUGCACAAUUAAUAUGAGAGAUAAAAUGUCAUGAAGAUACAAACUUAUUAGCAUUUAAAAAUCUUAAAAAGUAAAACAAAAUAUACGAAAGACGAAUUGGAUAGAAAAUUAUAUUAUAUUAUGACACAUUAAAAUGAAUUAGGCGGAGCCAAAAUACUUUUCCAACUGUGGCGAAAGUGACCGAAAACGGCGAUAAGGAACGAAUAAAAUAUUAUUAAAAUAAUAUAUUUGAGAUAACGUAUAGUGAAAAUAAAAAAAAAAAGCUUUAUAUUUAAGAAACGUAUAGAUGGAGAUGAGAAAGUAUUAAAAAAAGAUAUACUUUAUGUACGGAUAAAUAUUAUGAUGAAAUAAAAUUGGGUAUGGAUAAGUAUUAAGAUAUUUUCUAUAUAAUUAAAAUUUUAAUUAUGUUUAAUUUUAAAAGUUAAAGUUUAAUUUCGAUCCACUUUAAGUUUGAAAUUCAAAAAUUAUUUUGAUUCACUUUAAGAUUUAAAUUCAUAUGCGUCCGUAGUGAAGAUAUUAUAUAUUUUUGAAAAAUCCAAAAUUUAAUGAACUAUUUGAAAUGAAUGGUUCAAAAUUUCUAACGAUGAAAAAAUUAGUAAAAAAAUAGAGACAUUUUUGGAAAGAAAUUCAUAUUUAAUUCAAAAUUCAAAAUUUAAUUUUGAUCUAGUUUAAGAUUUAAGUUCAAAUGCGAGGAUAAUGGAGAUAUUAUAUGUUUUCUGACGAAUUCAAAAUUUUUGUACAUGAAAAAAUUUGUUAAAAAGAUAGAGACAUUUUCGUAAUAAAAUUCAUAUUUAAUUUGAAAUUUGAAAUUUUAUUUUGAUCCAUUUUAAUAUUUAAAAUCAAAUGCGAGAAUAUAUUUAAUUCAAAAUUAUGAUAGGUUGAAAAAAUAAUUUUGAUGAGAUAUUUGAGAAAUACGUGGAUAUUACGUGUGAAAAAGAUUAACCGGAUAUUAUGUAGGUAGGUGGGUGACGUGUAUGAUAGGUGGAUUAAUGAGAUAUUUGAGAAAUUCACGGAUAUUAUGUUGAGAAAAAAUUGACGAGUACGGAUAUUACGCAUGUUGAGUAUAAUGUUUGAGAAACGCAUAGAUAGAAGAUAUGAUAUAAAUGCGAGGGCAUUAUUGUCACAAAAAGUGACAGAUACUUUUAUUUUGAAUCGUUAGAUAAGAUCUUUAUCUACUAAUAUUUAAAAUAUGAGAUAUUACCAUAUGAACUUACAAUUUAAGAAUUUAAAUUUAUAGAUAAAUGUGAUUUACAAAUUUAUAUUGAUUGAUUUGAAAUAAUUAUUAAAAUAGUUGUUGACAGAUUCUUUUUAGUAGGAAAAAAUAUUACAUUCCAUUUGCGAUAACAAAAAAAAUUCAUACUUAUCCAAAUUUUUGUCAACCGAAGAAUAUCUACUACAGAAUAUUUUCACAAGUGCCCCAUCAAAGUAUAUCCAUACUCAUCAAAAAAAAGAAAAUCUCUACGCAAUACACAUUAAAAUUAUUUAGUAUCCACUAUCUCUCAAUUAACUAACUAAAAAAAAUUUAGCUUUAAAAAAUAGAAUUAUUAAAUAAACUUAUCAAAUCAACUUUAAAUUUUAAAUUUGGUUCAUAAUUUAAAAUGUGAAUUAAUAUUUUAUUCAAAAUUUGAAAUUAAUUAAAAUUUUACUAUUUGGGUGUGUAAACAAUAUUUCAAAUCGAAAAUAAUUAAUUAACCUGAAAUAUAUCAAAUUUGAAAAAUAGAUGAGAUGAUAAAUAAAUCAAUAUCUCUAAUAAUUAUUUACAUUCAAAUUAUGGAUUCAAAAUUAAUUUCAAAUUAUGGAUUCAUAAAUUUAAAUCUGAAUUUAUAAAUUUAAAAUUUAGAAUUACUUCAAAAUUUUAAAAUUUAGAUACAUAUUAAAAAAAUUAAAGUUAAAAAAAAUUAAUUGAUAAAAAUAUUUAUACCAUCAAUAAUUAUUUAAAUUUAAAAUAUAAAUAUAAAUUUAAUUUAAUUAAAUGUGACGUGUAUCGUACGUGCACUAUAACCGGUAGAGAUUAAAAACGUGUCUUAUUUAAGGGAAAAUUUUUCCUACUAGUAGUGAUGGGACGUAUCGACCCAAAUGAUACAGUUCCCUUGAUGGAAGAUGCCACGUCAGCAUUACACCUCAAUGACGUCACCUUUGAGGUGGACCUUCUACUGUGGCCCCGGUCAAUGUGUCUACCUAAUUCUUCUUGUUUUGGGGAAUAAUUUUUUUUUUGUAUUUUUUAUUCUGUUCCUAAGCCCUAGCUCCAUUAUUUUAAGUUAGGAAUAAUACCUAAUAUAUUUUUUAAAUAUUUAAAAAUAAAUAAUAUUUUUUCGUUUGACUAAUUACAUACUGUUAUUGACUUAAAAAAAUAUCCAAAUAUAAUCAUAACUUUAGAGUUAACUAAUGAAAUUUGAGAUUUAGAAGGAUAUUUUGAAAAUAGAAGGAUAAAUUUAAAAAUUUUAAAUAACUUUCUCAAACUAUGCGGCUGACACUUUGAUUCUUUAAACUUUAAUUUUUAUACUUUCUACCUUGGCUUUCAGAAUUAUUACAAUUAAAUCUCACGGUCCAAUUUAGCUGACUAAAAUUGACGCAUCACUGAUAUACAAAUAAUAUAAUAUUUUAAUUAGUGAUGUAUCAUCAAUCACAAUACUGCUACAUCACCUUUAUAUAUUCUGUUGUCAGUAAUUUAACUUCUCUUAAUUUAUACAAAAAAUUUUGAACUAGCCAAACUGAACUGACAGAGAUAUCCCAGUUCGACUUUGUUCGCUUCGUUCUUAUAAUUUGGUUUGGUUCGAUUUGUCAGUAAUUCAGUUCACUAGCUCCAUUAUUUUGAAAUAGUUUGAUAAGUCAUAUAAUUUACUCUGCGGACGCAUCUUAAAGGGUUUAAUUAAUGUAUAAUUAAACUCAGGACAUUAUUUGCUUAAAGAGAGAGAAAGUCUCUUUUGUAAUAACUAAAUAGACAUCAUAACAAUAACAUCAGAUCAAAAGCUCAAUAAUUUAAAAUCCGAAAUCGAUUACGUCGCAGAAUUAUUAAUUAUCAGAUCACAGGUCAUUGGUUUAAUCAGUAGUUCAAUUACUGAAUUGAAUGAUGUUAUAUAGCAAGAUGUUAUAAAUACUUAAUAAUUAUAUUUUGUACUAUAUAUAAGAAAACAUAUAUAUAAGUAUAGUACUCUAUAUUAUUUUUAAGAGCCAAUUGCUCAUAUCUUUUUGAAAAGUUCGUUUUUUAUUUAUAUCUCUUAAGAGGCUAAUAUUAAAAAUACAUUUCCAACGUUCGAGUAAUUUCAAAAAUACUCUUAGAGUUAAAUAGUGUUAAUGAAUUGUGGGCUAACAAUUAUUCUAUAUGUGGGUUAAUAUAUUAAUUAAUUUACAAUUACAAUAUAGGCUAUCAAAUUUUAACAGGCCAUUAAGUGAUCUAAUAUAUAUGGGGUUCUAAUUAAUUAAAGAUACCUAUUGGGUAUGGACUGUUAAUGUGUAGAAGUCAUGUAAAGACCUAUUUUCGCUAUAUGAGACCCUAAUUAGAUUUAGAAUAUAAGAAACACAAUAAGAUUGUAAUCCCUAGCUAGAUACGUGCCAUCACAUGCCUUAACCCUAUUUUCAGAGCAAAUUAGAGAGAGGAUUGUUAUGACAAACGCACAAACGGAAACGAAAUAACGAACACAAAAAACAAUCAAACCACAAGCAGAAAAUAAAGCGACACAGAUUUUCGUGGAAAACCCUUUGCAGGGAAAAAACAACGGGCGAGAGAGGAGAGAGCUUCACUAUGGAACGAAAAAGGGAAUACAAUGUUCUUCUGAUUACAACCGACCACAAUCACACGCCUCUAGGGCAAAAAAAAAACGAAAAAAGAAAACUCAUAACGGGUUUCGGAUUCGAUCCGUACCGCGCUGUCGGCCCUAUUUUCACUAACAGGCCCGAGCUCUCCGCUACCCACCACAGACAUUCAUUUUUUCUCCAUAAUUUUCUUUUCCAAAUUGAUUGCACCGCGAAGCUGUUGGCGAAUCGUAAACCCGAACCUGAAAUGAUAGUAAAUUUCGAGUCAGAUCUGACAAGGAUGAAUCUAGACUUGAAAGCACUCAAUCCAAAACAAUUCUGGUAUCGAUAUUUUAGAGAAGUUAAAAUCUAAGAAAAUGUUUCAUCAGGCAUGAAUUCCAAUAAGUGUUUUUAUAAUUUUUUUUUUAAAAAAAUACAUUAACGAUUGGCUAACGAUUUUAUGUCAUUCUUGGGUUAUUUUCAUUAGUUCGAGUAAAGUCCUUCGCAACAAGACGAGGUUUAUAUUUCUCGACAUUGCCUUUUGAAUCCUUUUUAGUUUCAAAUAUUGAUUUGCAACCAACAAGUUUCGCACCUUCCGGCGAUUCGAAGAGAUCCCAAGAAUUAUUGUCUUUCACGCACUUUAUCUCAUCUGAUUCAUGGCAUCAAUUUAUUUUUGAGAAUUAGAACUCUAUAUGACUUGACGAAAGUUGAUUGGAUCAUCUUCCAUCAAACCUGUGUCGUCCUCAUGUUCUUGUGGAUCUUCGUAACGGCAUUUGCUCUUAAGAUUGUUGAGUUUGCUCUUUAAUUUGGGGCAACUUCUUGAUUUUGAGGGGGAGAAUUCAUCAACAUUAUCUUCAUUGUCUGGGUUUGCUUCUUGAACUACGUCAGUAAUAGUGACUUGAUCAUCAUCGUAAUAGCAACGGUAGGACAAAAAAAAAAAAAAAAAACAAAUUCUUCUUCAAAAACAAUGUUACUUAUUUUAUCUUCCCCUCCAAACUUAACUUUCUCUCAAUUCUCUGUUUAAAUGUGACACAACGCUCGUGUCAUAACGUAGUAGAAUUCUCAUUAGUUAAUUUUCAUUUUGUACCACAAGAACUAGUAUAUACGACGUUUCAUUAUACGAAGCGAUCGUAUAUAACAAAUAUAGGUUGUCAUUUACAGAUAAUGAACCAGUACCAACAAAAUUUGAAUUUUGGAAAAGACUAAAUUUAUUAUUUCCAAACGAACAAGAGUAAACAGAUUUGUCCAAAAUAGAAAUAGAAACUAAAUUUUGUCUAAACAAUGGUACAAUAAAUGUCUCUUUCAAAUCCAAAUAAGAACUGGCCUUUAAUAACAGCCUAAACCUCAACACAACUGAUUUACCGUCGCCCACAAAGAUGAAUCUUUCAGCAUCAUUUCGCUGUCGGUUGUCGGCUCAUUAGACAUCCUUGCAUAGACACACUUAUGUGAAUAGUAGCACCAGAAUCUAUUCAUCAAGUAUUUCUUGGAACAGAAGUCAAAUUAACUUCAGAACAAACCAAAGUGAGAAGCUUAUCUCUCUUAGCACGCCAAACUGCAUAUUUCUCGACAUUGCACAUUUCCAGCUAAGUUUAUUUCUAAAUAAAAUAAACGAAGCGGGUAGCGUGCUACCUAUCUCUCAAAAAAAAAAAAAAAAACCAAUAAGUUUAGUGUCUUUAAUUUUGAAGCAACGUGAGAUAUCUCCAUGAUGUACUUUAUAUCUUAUUGAAAUAGGUUUAGAUCGCAGUUAACUUUUUUCAUCCUUUAUGCUUUUGGCAAAACGCUUUUCCAAUUCCUCAAGAAACUUCUUAACAUCAUCCUCAUCAAACAUAGCGCCCUGAAAGAUUUUGGAAUUGCAUGUUUCAUGAUCAUAAGACAUGCGAUUAGAACGUUCCCACUUCUAAAAGUCCUUUUUAUCCUCAAUAGAACUUUUAUCUGUAAAAAAAAGGGGUCGUUCUGUCCGUGGCGCAAGAUCCAGAUCAAUGCAACCGCGAACAAUCAUAACAUUCUCUUUUCGAUUCUAAAAUUUGUGCUAUUCAGCACUGGAUUGAAUUGAUAUUAAUUUGCAGAUAUUGAAGAAGCAGAAGUAUUAAUUGAACGGAGAAUAAGACACCAAACAUUAGGCUCUCACUUUUUCUGUUUUAUCUAUAACAAAAUAUAAUAAAUAAAUUCAAAUAAUGAUGGGCCCAAAACAAGAUACCUAGCAAAACGUUGUCACAUAUUCAUUACGACAAGUGUAUGUGCAGUUCAGCAAAUAGUAAACUUCCUCUGGGUCGCUCACUCUUUGCAUAAACAACAUUUAUACACAUCCAAAUAUUUUAAAUAAAUUAAUCUACAUAAGAGAGGUUAUAUAUGUUAGUAACAUGUUGUUUCAAUUAAUUUAUUUUUAAACAUUGGACAUUUCAAAAUUAAGAAAAUACCAAAAUUUAAAUUUAAUUUUUAAAAAUAUAUUUUGCAAAAAAAAUAAAUUUAAAAUUUUCAUAAAGUACAAAUGUAGGAUAGGGCGCAGAUUAUUGGGGGGUCGCGAGAUGACGGUUUUCAGCAGUUUUUCGAAUGCGAAAACCGUCUCUUCGGCCUUACGGGCUAUUUUGCAACUCCGAAAACCUUACUUUAUGACCCUAUAUCGUUAAACAAUCAGAAUCCGGAAUCUAAAUUGUCACAAAUCAAAUAAUAAUGUGAAAAAAUAAUAAGGAUUUAUAACAAUUUUCUUUUUUAAAAAAUGAUAUCUAACGACUUAAUCACGCGCGUCUUAGUCUGACACCACUUGUUAGAUCUUUACAUACAUAAAUACAAAUAACCCAAAAAUCACAUGUAAACUGUUAACCAAUCGUUAACGUAUUUAAAAGAAAUAAAUAUUUAUCAGAAUCCAUGCUCGAUGAAACACAUUCUUAGACUUUAACAUCUCUCAAAUACCGACACAUAAUUACUUAGGAUUGAGUGCUUCGGAGUCUAGAUUCGUUGUCUCUCUAAUUUUCUCUAAAAAUGGUGUAAGGUAUCGGACUUAGGGAUCAUUAUCUUAUUGUGCUCCUUAUAUACUAGGUCUAAUUAGGAUCCCAUAAAGCAUAAAUAGGCUUGUAUUUGACUUCUACAUAUUAACAGCUCAUAUCUAAUAGCACUAUAACAGAAUUAGAUUAUAGGGACACAUGUUUAAGACACUUUUGAGUAAGUGUCUCAUUUAUGCUAAAACUUAAAAAAACAUCUACUAAUGUCUAAAUAUAAAGCCCAAUCCAACCAAAAAUAAAAGAUUACUCUACUCAACCCACCACACUCAGUCCAUUUGGCCCGAUUACAAAUAGAAAAGAAAAAAAAAAAGAAAAAUCAAUUACCAUCUUUUCUUUUCUCUUCACUCAAUCCACUGAAAUUCUAGACGAAUAGCCUUUCAUGUCGUCCUCCUCCGCCACUGCAGCCAACGAGAUAGAGUUUCGGCGGUUGCUAAAUGCUUAAAUAAGUGUUGGUAAAUUAGCAGCACUCUUUUAGAUUAUAGCGACACUCUUUAACUGUCACUAUAUACCUAGCGACCCCACAUAUAGCAACACUUUUUAAAAAUGUCGGUAAUUUUAGCUAGCAGCACUUUUUUGACAUGUACCUACAUUUAAAAGUGUCGCUAUAGACCGUUUUUGUUGUAGUGUAGAUGUUUCUAGAGCCCAUAUUAGAUCACCUAAUGGUCCCGUUAAAAUUACAUAGUUCAUAUUAUAAUUGUAAAUUAAUAUGUUAACCCACAUAUAGAUCCCAAUAGGUUGUGGGUGGAGUGCCUGGCCAUAAGGUCAGUUAAAGGUUAGAAAGAUGAGUCUUAUAUCGUCUGACGCUUGUGAAUGUGUUUGAGUCUAGCGAAAACAUUAGGACUUAAAGAGAAAGGAUUGUGACGCUUCUAGGAUUUGAAAUAGUCAUAUAUAUGAGAUGUAAUAGAACUAAAUUUAAAAAAUUCGGUUACAGUAUUUUGGACGGUAGUUAGGUUUAAAAGUUUGAGAAAGUUAAGCGUGCUAGCGCUUGAGAAAUCCUAAGAUCAGUGGUCUUAUGAAAAGUGGGACGUCACAUUUAUUAUUUGAACCAGUAAUCUGAAUGGGUCAAAGCGGAUUUUAAGCAUGUCCGAUUUAUGGGUCGAACUGAAUUGGUUUGACACUUGUCACGGUCUGACAAAUCUGACCGGCCGGGUCGAUUUGAAUUUUAAAAUUUGAAAAACUUUUAUAUUGUAUAGAAAAAUGAGAAAAAAUAAAUAAAUAAUCGUUCCAUCAAAUUUUAACUACUAAUUAAUUUUCAACUAAAGAUCGUGCAAACUCAGUUUAUAGUUAUAUAGCUGCUAACAGCUAAUUAACCCAUUAAUAAAAUCUCCAAUUGAAAUAAUUCAAAUAACUUAUAUCAACACAAAUGAAAUUUGAACUCCCAAAAAGGGAAAAGUUUAAAAAAAAAAAAAGUCUAGUCAAAAGUGGCCCAAAGUAGGAAUGUCAAGGAGUGGGAUUCGGAUGGAAUUUUAAAAAAUCCGAAUCCGAACCGGACUCCAAACCCAAAAUUCGAAUCUAAAUUCGAAUUCGAAUGUAGUGUUCCAGAGGUUUGGAUAAGAUUGGCUACAGCAUUAGUGACUGGUCGACACAUCUGGAGAGUGUCGGACUGAGUCGAAGUCAAUUCUUCACGAAAUGGAUGCAGAAAUGGACUCGGCGCACUCAAAUAAGCAAAACUGGAGUUUUGCCAAAUUCGGGUGCCCAGAACAAGAUUUAGGUCGCCCAGAACUUGAGUGCAGAACGGAGCAGAACUGGAAGCCAAUUCGGAUCCUAGUUUCGGGGGCCCAGAAGUGGGUCCGAAAAUUCACUUCGUGAGUAUCGUUUGCGCUGACACGUGGCUGGUGGUAGGUGAGGUCUACCGGAGCCGGUUAUGGGCACAGCACACCGCGGCGGAGGAACCAAAGGGAGGCUUUUGUAUAGCCUGGAGAUUCCGAAAGCCUAGAUGUAUGUUUUGGGCGCCCGAAAGUGGGGAUUCUACAGGGGCAGCAGAUUUGUGUUUGGAGUUCUUGGGUCUUAUCUUAUCUUUUCAUCUGGCCUAUAAAUAGGCUAUGUACGCCCGCAGUGAACACUUUUCAUCCUUUCUUCACAGUGAAGGCUUAGAAUUGCAUCUAACACCUCAAAUUGCUUCAAUUCCUCCAAUUUCUGCACUUUCAACUAGAGGGCUGCAGUUCUAGCAGUUUUCCAGCGGCGACCUUCGGUGUUUCGACUCGUGUGCGACGUAGGAAGCUCCGUUUGCCACGAAACUUAGUUUAUUAGAUUCUAGACUUCAAGAGGAAUUCGUGGAGCUUAAAUUGAUAGAAUUUGGUUAAGGUGAGCUUAGUCAUUUUCGCAUUCUUCUCUGCUGCUGAUGGUUUAAGCUGAAAUUGAGUUUGUUGUGGUUUUCUUGGAGCAAUUCUUUGAAGGAGCUGGAUUGUGAACCAGAGCUUGAUACUCCAGCACAGCCCACUAGUUUUGGGACCUUCCUUCAUCUGAUUUAAGCUUUGGAAGGUAAAGUUGACAUUGUAAUUGGAUGAUAUUAGCUUAAGUGCUGAAUUUUUGGUGUAUUGAUGGAUUUUUUGGUGGAUUUUGUGUAGACCUUGGAUUUGUUUGGUUGCCGGUUGUGGCAGAGAUUGACAGGGAUUCCGGCGACUCCUCGCUGCCGUGGAUUUAGCGCUAGAGGUGGGUUAAUCAUCGGAUUUUUCUCCUAAGUGUACGCGUAGUCAACAUGUAUAUAUUCAGCAGUUGUAUAUCAUGUUUUCAGCUCGAAUUCAUCGAUUAGCAUGUUAAAUGAAAUCUGACUUUGGAGCAUGCUGUAGUAAGUUAAAUAAAUUAUAUAUGUUGGAUUUGGAAUUGACUUAGGAGAAAACUAGCGCUUCUACACUGUCAUAUGUUAAAACUACCAGAUUUAACUCAAGUAGCCGUAGUUUGUUUGUAUCACCGCAGUUUGUGGGUGGUGAAUAUCUAGGAUAGUGUAGAAUAUAUUUACACUCGUUCUGAGAUGUUGAGCUUAUUUUUACAGCAGUAUUUAGGCUGUUCCGGACUGUCGGGUGCCGUUGAGGUUGACGGUGGACCCAGAUUGCUGUUUUUGCACAGAUUGUGCCGAGAGCACAUGAGUUUGGUAGUUGGAUCCUGUUUACUUAGAUCUUAGCCUGUGAAAGCGUGAUUGAGCUCGACAGAGAUAUGCUUGCAUAUUUGGUUGGGUAGCGCCCACGAGUGUCACUCCGGAUCAGGCUUUGUGCGUUUGCGUUGGUGUCAUUGUGUCCUGGUUGGACUUACUCUCCAUGGACUGCAUAGUAUGGAGGUAGCUGUAUCGCUUCGACAGGCGGGACAGGUGUGCUCACAGCCCUGGGACGGGUAUAUUUACAGUCCCUAGUGAGAUUGGGUCAGAGCUUGUCUUAUUUUACAGAUAGUAAUGUCGGAUCAUGAUAGCAUAGUGACAUAUAGCUGUAGAUUGUUUUCAGUUUCUUUACUAUCUCUUGAGCAUACAUCUGUAUACUUAGUAGGUGAGCCGAUGAGUUGAGGGCGGUACCCACUGAGGACUACUUGUUUUUGUAAUAGUUCUCACGCCCAUUUGUUACCCCUCUUUUGCAGAGCCUUCUGUUCCGGCUGCUGCUACUACCAAGACUGAUCGUGACAAAGGCGUUGCAAGUUAGAGCCCUUCCAGACAAGUCGCAGAGCUAGAGGAGUACCAGCUACAGGUAAUUAUAGUUUUUGGUUCUUUACAUACGGAUAUUAUACCUCGCUGGACCGAGUAUGUUUGUACCCUGAUGCUAUAUAUGUAUUGAACCACUGUAUUUAUAUAUAUUUUAUUCCUUUCUAGCAGCUCUAUACUACUAGUUAUAGUGUAUUUGAUUUCAAGUUCUUGUACAGCUUCGCUUCGUAUAUCGGAAAAAUUUUUAUGUAUACGGCGGGUCUGUUAGCGUGCUUGGAAAACGAGCAAUAUGGGGCGUGAUAUCGAUAAAUUUUAAAAAUCCAUAUCCAAAUCAGAACCCGACCAAAAAUUCGAAAUCCGAAGCCGAAAAUCCGGACCCAGAAUAAUUAUUUCUCCUUUCAAUAUUUUAAAAUAUAUUACAUUAAAUUUAAAUUUUUAAAAUAUAAAUUCAGAUAUAACAUCAAAUAUUUAUAUACAUAUUAUAUAUAAUGUCGGAUUCAAGUCGGAUUCGAGUUCGGGUUCGUAUCAGGUACAAUCAAAAUCCAUAUCCGAAUCCAUAUCGCUGGAUUUUUAUUUUUGAUAUUCAUAUCUAAAAUCAUGUCCGUUUAAUAUCAGAUAAAUUCACUCCGUUCGGAUUCGAAUUCGAAUAAAAUUUUGAGUAUCCGUAUCCAUCGACAACCCUAGCCCAAAGUUUAGAGGUCCACAUGUAUACAUUUUCCUUUUUUUGCGUGCAUUAUUGUAGAAUCUAGACGAAAAAUAAUAACUUGAAUGAUCCUCAAUAAUUUUUCAGGACAAAAUAGAGAGUUUAUUUUAAAUUUUCGUUCAAUCAUCGAACCGAUAAACUGACUGGAUUUUAACCAAAUCGUUUAAAAUAUUUGUGACUUGACCAUUUGGUCAAAAAGGUUGAUGCCACCUAAUUUUGAGUUGUGCAAUAGUGCUUUCACAAAAGAAAAAGUGAUGAGUACCAUGGUUUGUCCUUAGGUGGGCAACCUAAAUUAUUUAUGACUUGACCAUUCGGUCGAAAAGGAGAUGCCAAUGCACAUGUUGUGUAGUAUUUUCUUGUUGGUAUUCCCGACCAUUUCCGUGAUUUCAGCGAGCCCCGUAGAUAUAUUAAAUUGCAGAUAUAUUUUCAUAAAAUUUUUAUUUUUAUUUUUAUUCGUACAAAAAUUUUAAUAUUUUUAAGGGGUAAUUGUUUAUAUAUCUCUAAAAAAUUCUCGACUUUUUAAUUUACCUCUCUUAGAAGGCUAAUAUUGAAAAUACUUUUUUUACGUUCCAUCUAUUUCAAAUAUACCCCUAGAGUUAAAUUUCAUUAAUAAACUGUUAUUAAUAACUGUUAUCUGUAUAAAAUUACUAUUUUAUCUUUUUAAAUAUACCCUUCCACUGUCAUGGACUUUUUUUAUUUGUCCUUAAGUUAGGGGUACAAAAAGUAUUUUGAUUUUUUGUCUUUUCAAAUAUACCCUUAUAUUAUAACCAAUAUUUCUUAUUUACCCUUAAAUUACGGGCAAAAUAGACAUUUUAAUUUUUUUUAACUCUAGUAGAAAUUUAACUCACGUUAAACCCAAGUUAACUUAACGGGUGAUAAUUGCAGAAAUAUUUUGGAAUAACGCAGGAACAUAUGAGGGGUAUAUUGGAAACAAACAAAAAAAUAGGAUAAAUGAGAUAUUUUUAAAGUUUUGAGGGGUAUAUAGGCAAUUAUUCCUAUUUUUAAAUAUACUCUGUUUGUAGGAUCCGUUAGAAAAAUAUAGUUAAUUAUAAGUAAAAUACCUAAUCCUGAUUAAUGAAUAAGUUAAAUUAAACUUUGUACCCCUUCUUAUAUUAAUGGACAAAAUAUUUUUUUAGGAUGACAUUUCUGCAUAAUUAUAACAGUUGGGACUUUUGGAGAGAUAUAUUUGUAAGGGCAAAAAUGUUAUUUCACAUAUCUUAUUAAAAAAUAAACAGUGCGCUGACGGUAACAAAUCAGAGGGACAAAUAUGAAUAUCACUGAACUUUUGUAAGGAUAAAAAUGAAAAGUUAAACUUUGUAGCGAUAUAUUUGCUAUACGAUAUGUUUACAGGGAGCUAUAUGCAGUUAACCCUAAAAUUAUUUGGAAACCAAAUUUUAUAAUUUUUCGAUAUCAUUUGCCAAGUAAUCAAAAAGUCUAAAAAAUAAUUAUUUUAAUGAUAGAUAUAGUACGUUUGUAAGUUCAAUGGUGUAGAACAAUUCAAAUUUGAUGAAAUUUUAAUAAAAAUUUCUAUUUACCGUCAAGAGCAAUAUCAUUACUUUCGAUUUAAAAUUUAAGUUUUCUAUCAUUAUUUUUUAUGAGAUUUUCUUUCGGCCUUUCAUUUUGAGGCUAUAUGUUCAUUAAGCAAAUAAUGUUAAAAAUUUAUAAAAUUUACUUUCUAGAUUGUUCCGAUAUUAUAAAUCAUAUCCAAUAAAAUGUCCCGUCAUCAAAAAUAACUUAAAAGUACAAAGGUUACCGUACUUUCGAAAGCAUACUAUCUACUAUUUCUCUUUAUUGUGACACCUCUAAAAUUUGGAAUAGUUCUAUAUAUGAGAUAUAAUAUGAUUAAAACUUUUAAUCCGGUUAUAACAUAUUGGACGCUCGCUAAGCUUAAGAGUUAAGAGGAUUAAGCAUAUUAGAAUUAGAGUAACUCUAGAAUGGAUGACCAUAGAAAAGUUGGGUGGGUGUCACAUCUGUACAGAGAGAAAGAGUGUGUGAGAAGUCCACACCCACCUUAGCUUGCAGACUGCGUGCGAGAGUGGAAUAAGCCGCGAUUCUUUCCACCACGCGCAUUCAUUUUUCGCAAAAAGUAAAAAUAAAAAAAAAAACAAAAAGUCUACUCUUUUAGGAAAAACAACAUAAAAUUAUUUUCCACACCGAAAAUAAUUUUCGGUUUACUUUUACAGUUUUACGACAAACCAAACAUGUCGUAAUGCGUACGAUAGAAUGUUUUUCCCUGGACUAACUAAAUUGGAUAGAAUUUUUUUUCUACACACUUUUUCGAGGAAUCAAUUCCCCAAGGCAGUUUAAAUGGGGAAAAUCUCAGAAUCAAUGGGGAAAUCCCCCCAAGGGGAAUAUUUUUUUUUUUUGGAACAAAGGGGAAAUCCCAGGAACAGCCCCUGAGACAGUGUACAUAGUUUUUGUAUUGUUUUUAAAUUUUUAUGUGAUGGAAGUAUAAGUUUGGUGGUGAGAAAAUGGAUAUUUUUUGUUUAGGAUUAAAUUUUAUUUAUUUAUGAACUAUUUUAUUUUGCUAUCUGAAAAAUGGUGUAUUUUUGGACUAAUAAUUUGCGGCAGUACCUAAAUUUUAAUUAAUUCAUAUUUAAUUUGAUAAAAAAAAAAUUCUAAUGUUUUUAGCUUUACUAGUCAUAUGCAUGGGCAAUGCAAGUGAGAUUUAUUGGAAAAAAUCAAAUAAUUUUUUUUCUAAAAUAUAUAUUAAUUUUAAGUUAAUAAUGAAAUUAAAAUAUAAACUAAAUGUACUACUAUUCUUCAAUUAUUAUUGUUCAAAUUAAUUAGGCUUAAUUUGGGCAAAAUUUUUACAAUUUUUAUUUCCUAAUAUAUAUAUAUAUAUAUAUAUAUAUAGAGAGAGAGAGAGAGAGAGAGAGAGAGUAAGUUUUCUGUACUUUCGAAAGUACGGAGACCUCCGUGCUUGUAAGUUAUUUUCAAUGAUAGAAAAUCUGAUUCGACGAUCGGCUCCGUUAAGUAUAAUCUACCAUAUUGAAACUAUUUAGAAAUCAAAUUUUAUAAUUUUUUGACAUUAUUUACCAAGCGAUCAAAAGGUCUCAAAAAUGACUAUUCUAAUGGCCGAUGUGGCACAUUUUUAAGUUCAACGGUGUAGAAGUAUCCAAAUUAGAUGAAAAUUUAAUAGAAAAUUUUACUUAACAUCAAUAGUAAGACCAAUACUUCCGAUUUGAAAUUUAAGUCCUUUAUCACUAUUUUUUAUGAGAUUUUUAUUUUCAGCCGUUCAUUUUGAGGUUACUCGUUUACUAGACAAACAAAAUUNAUAUAUAUAUAUAUAUAUAUAUAUAUAUACACCAAUUGAUUUGAACAAGAUAGUAAAAAUAUUAAUACAAUUUUGGGAGAAUUUUGAAUCCUAUCGAGAUACUGUUCAUAUUUUGAAAAAAUUUUUGCCUGUACCAAUAUACAUGUUUUAUACACCACAUUCAAUAUUUAACAUUUAUUUUUAAAAAAUUAUACAUUAAAAUUUAUAAAUUUUUAAAAUCAUAAUAUCUAGGUAUUAAAUGAACUUAAAAAUUAACAAUAUAAAAAAAGUUGAUGAAUUUGGUAGGUAGAUGCUCAAAAUAUAUAAUGUCAUAGAGGCAUUGUGUGAGAUCCCUGGUGUUUGACUGUGGAGGCUUGUCGACAGCUCUGGAAAGUGUCGGGACAAGCCCGAGUCGCGUUGGCGUCAAAUAGACGCAAAACGGACUCCGUGCGACGCGGGGGGGACGAGCAUGCCGUUUCAGCGACAGAAAUUGCAAAAUAGCAGUUUUUUCCCUGCGUGCUGUACCGUACAGCCAUCCAGGAGGGCGUCGACGCCCGGGGGGAGCAGAGGUGGCAUCGUGCGCUAACACAGCGGGCUUCGCAGGGCGCGGACAGCCUCCCCCUCCGUGGCGAUAGGACGGCGUUUGAGCAGGGCGGCUCGUUACCGGGUGGCACCAUGAUACUGCGUACACUUCAAUCCAGCGUUGCGCGCAGAUUGCUUCUCGGGUUGCCAUGUGACCGUAAGAGCGCUGUUACCGGUCUACGUUGAUAGGGAGGGGCUUUUUAGUAAUAUCACCUUGCCUUGUUUUGUAUACACUAUUCCACCCCUUGCUUUAUACGUGUAGGAGUUAGUAGAGAGAGAGAGCUAUUGCUACUCUUCUCUUCUCUCUCUCCUAGCUUGAUCGAAUAGCUGGAUCUCGGUUGAGCUUUCGUUGCCGACUCGCGCGCGGAACACGUUUGAGUCGGCUUUUGACGCCGGUGUGGUAGCGCGGGAGGCCGGGACGGCAGUUUCGCCGUUGUCUGGCUGUCGCAUGCGGUGCCCGGUGUUUGUCAGUGAGUAAUUCAGCAUUUUUCCUGGAUUUUUGUGGCUAAAUGUUUGCACUUCACUCGCGAAAUGUUGUUUGCUGAAGUCACCCGGUCGCAAUGCUCAUUGUAUUUUCGGCCUCGUUCUCGACGGGUCAGGAGCCAUCGGACUUGCCGACGGAGUUGUCGUUGGAUUCGGGGACUUUCCGAGAAGGAAUCCAGCGAUUACCCUUACUUGGUGAUUUUUGGUGAGGUUAGCUUGGGUCGAUAACGCCUUCCCUUUCCUGCCUGCUGUAUUGUUUGACUGUAAUGUGGAAUUGCGAGGUGAUUAGUCUUGAGUUAGCCGAUUGCGAGAAUCGGUACUUGUUCGCUCGCCAGCAGGUGUUUCGCAGCUGAGGGAUGUUCCGCUGCCUUGGGAUUAGCGUUGCGAGGUGGUUACAUCGCUUUACUCCUAAGUUUCUUAUUGUCGACUGUAUAAUCUUUGAUUCGUAAUAAGUUUAGCUAAAAUUCAUCGGAUUACUUAAAUGUAAAAUCUGAAUUUUCGAGCAUAUUUUAUCAAGUAAAUAGUUAUACAUGUUGGACUUGGAAAUUAAAUUAGGAGAAACCUGCGAUUUUUGAACCUUGUCACCAGUUUUAAACUACCUGAUUUAGCUCUAGGCGGACAGUCUAGAAAGAUUGUACUGUCGGCAGUUAUUGUCAAGACGAGUAUCCAGGUAGUUUAGAAUGUAAUUUACACUCGUGCUGGUUGCAACGAGUGGAAUUUUUACAGGAUGCGUUCACGGUCGUUAGUCGGACUGUUGGGUUGCACCGUCAGAUGUUGGACGGUUGGACCGCUUAUUCGCCUUUGGUGGGCGUCGAUUGGUCCGGAGGGCAUGUUGACCUGCUUGCGUGUGUAGUACAGUUGAGAGUUCGAUAUUGACCUUUGGCCUAGUUAGCAGCUGAUUCGAGCGUCGACAGACGGAUACGCUUGCAUACUCGGUUGGGGUGGCGCCACGAGUGCCACUCGGAAGGGGCUUUCUUUUGAAGUGGGUCGCUCAGCCAGUUGCGACUUGCGUCUCCACGGACCAGUUAGAGUGGAUAGAGCCGCAUAGUCGCACACGGCUAGGGUACGGGUCUGUUUCAACCAGUCCGGUGGGACGGUAUGCUUACAGUCCCGAUUUGAGAUUGGGUCAGACUUGAAUUUUCCUACAGUUCUGUUACGCUGGAGAGCAUGCACUAGUGUGUGAUGAUGAGCUGGUUGCUUAGGUGUACUUCCUGCUUUUCCUACUACUCCUUGCCCCUUCUGUAGACUUAGUGGGUGACCGAUGUUGUUUUGGGCGGUACCCACUGAGGACUACUUGUUUUUACAGUAGUUCUCACGCCCAGUUGUUACCUAUGUUUUUGCAGAGCCACAGGUUCCGGCUGCUGCACCGUCCGUGGAUCAGGAUCGAGGCAAGGGCGUCGCGAGUUAGAGCCCUACCCGACGUGCUGAGCUAGAGGUGCCCUACUGCAGGUAGAUGUUUUGUUUCGAGUUUGUGUACAUAGUUGACUUAACUCGCCAGUGCGAGUAGCUCUGUAUUUUGGAUCUGAACUAUGUAUAUGAAACUCUGUUUUAUUUAGCUUCUGUUUUCUCUAGCAGCUCUCUACUACUGUUUGUAGUAGUGUUUGAUAUACAGAGAAAAUCUCUUUGUAUACGGCGAAUUUGUCGGCGUGCCCGGGGAACGUGUAAUCCGGGGCGUGACACAUUGUUAUAUUUAUAAAUUUUGUAAUAUUUUUUAAUUUCACACAAUAUGAAUUGAAUUUUAAUUUAAAUUCGUGAGCUUUUUAUUAACUAAAGAAAUGGAAAUAUAAUUUGAAUUUAAUUAUGAAACUUGUUUAGGAAGAAAUUAAAGAUAAUGAAAAGGAAAACAAUUCGGCUGAGACUUUAAUAUCUUUAAUUAAAAAUGUAAAUCUAGCUAAAAAUUAAAUUGCUAAAAAAAAGAUAUAUUAGUAAUAGAAAAGAAAGAAAAAUUAAAAAUAUAUAUAUAUAUAUAUAUAUAUUAGUAAUAGAAAAGAAAGAAGAAUUUUAAAAAAAGAAAAUAUAUUAGCAAUAGAUAUAAGAGGAGAGAGACUAUUUACAUUGAUGUGUAUAUGAAUUGUCAACGCAUAGAUUGUCGAUCAUCGGUGACGUGCAUACUCUUAUAUCUUGACCACCGAUGACAUGUCGGUAGACCAUCAACAACGUUGACAUGAUUCGUGUACUUCUGUCGAUAUACAUGCAAUGUGAGGACGACGAUGUCAUGCUAGCAAAGAUGACAACAAAGUUCUGCCGGCGAAGAGGAGGAUAAAGAUGUGCCGGUGAAGGUGACGACAAUGAUGUGCCGGCGCCAGCAAGGACAACGAAUAUGUACAUGUACAAUAAACCAUAAUAGAAUAGGUGUGGAAGGAAUAAAAGAAAACACUUGAGAAUGCAGUGAUAAAUACAAAGGUGGCAGGUAUUAUGUGUAAUUAUAUAAGAUUGGAAUAAGAAUAAGAAGAUUGUUGAGAAAUGAGUAGGUAUUAAAAUUAUGAUGAGAUGGUAGGUAGCUAAGUGUCACUCGUCCGAAAGGAGAUUUAGAUUAAAAGUAUCAAAAUUUUAAUUUAUUUUUAAUUCAACAUGUCACAUCUAAUUUUAAAUUAAAUUUAUAUUUACAUUUUAAAUUUUAAAUCGUUAAUGGAGGUGUAUGUCUAUUAUUAAAUUAUUUUUUUCUAACUUUAAUUUAUCUCUAAAUAAGUUUUAUAUAUUUAUAAUUAAUUAAUACUAUAAGUAUUUUUCAUAUGUAUUUCAUAAUAUUUGAAAAAAUGUGCGCAUUAUGUUAGAAAGGAUUAGCAGCUAUGUCACAAAGAAAACAUUUAAAAGGAUAUUACUAAAAAAAUAUAUAUACUAAAAUAGUAUAAAUGUAUAUUAAAAAAAUAAAAAAUUUUCAGGUAGGAUCAAAAUACCUAUGGCGAAGGUAACGAAGGCGACAAUGUGUCGGCACCGGUAAUGACGAUAACGAUGAGGAGAACGAUGAUCAUGUACCAGUGCCGGCAAUGGUGACGAAUGAAAAAGGAUGUACUAAAAAAAAUAUUUGAGAAUAUUUAAGAAAAUGUAGAUAAAAAUGAAAAAGAAUAUUACUGAAGAAAAUAUAUGCUUUAUAUUUGAUAAACGUAUACGUAAAAAUAAGAAAAUACCAAAAAAAAUAUGCUAAAAUAAUAUAAAUGUACAUUAAAAAACGAAAAAUUUUCAGGUGAGAUUGAAAUACCUCUCCAACUUUGACGAAAAUGGCAAAAGUGAUAAUGUGUCGGUGUCGACGAUGACGAUGUGCUACGAUGUACUGGUGCUAGCGAUGGGAACAACGAUGUACUAGUGCUAGCGAUGGGUUCAAAUGAGAAAAGAUAUUACUAAAAAAAUAUUUGAGAAGAAUAUAGGUGAAAAUAAAAAAGAUAUUAUUAAAAAAAUAUCUCAAAAAAAUAUAUUCUGUGUGUGAAUAAAUAUUAUAAUGAGAUAAGAUUGGAUAGUAUAGAUAUUAUAUACAAAGACAUAUAGAUAUUAUAUGCGAGUGCAUUAAGAUAUGCUCUGUAUUUGAGAAACGCGUAAAAUAUUUUGGCGGGCAUUACUUUUGAAUAAUUUACUAAAAAAAUUCAAAAAUUUAAAAUUAUAUUUAACUAACAAUUUAGUUUUGCUUAGGUGGGUAUUAAAUCUUUCUAGCAAUAUUCUAUGUGAUUGGCGUAGAUAUUACGUGUAAAAAAGAAAUUAUUUGAGUAACACGUAAAUAGGAGAUAAUGGAUAUUUUAAUUUAUGGCAGAUAUUACGUUUGAGAAAACGCGUAGAUAGGAUAAAUUUAAUUUUAUUUAUUAUGUGAUGGAUAUUUUAAUUUAUGGCGGGUAUUACGUUUGAGAAAAUGCGUAGAUAGGAUAAAUUUAACUUUAUUUAUUAUGUGAUUGGCGCUAUUACGUGAAGUAUCCCUAGUGUUUGGUUGCCCGUAAGUUUUCAGCAUCUGAGACUUGUCAACACAUCUGGAGAGUGUCGGGACAGGUCAGAGUCGUUUUGGCGCGAAACGGACGCAAAACAGACUCAGUGCGACGCGAAAGCAGAGUUUGACAUUGAAAUCUACAAAGUGUAGGUUUUCAGUAUUCAGUAUCGGUACCAUACAGGGGAGUACCGAUACCCCAGUGUAUUCUCCGAACUGCUGCUCUAGGGUUGCGAUAAUUGAUGCUGAGUACCAGUACAGCAUCGAGCUGGUACCGGUACUCCAGCUGGGAUGUUGAGUUGGUGAGGAGUAGAAUGGUCUUUUUGGUUGGUGGAUAAACAUACCACCCACUCCCUCUUUAUAUUUAUCCACCUCAUCUGCCGAGAAGGGUAAUUAUCCUUUUUCCUCUCUCUCCAGUUUUAAUUGUGUGCUUAGGGAAGGCCACGGCUUAAGCUCGGAUCGACGUCGACGUUGCGCCAGGAAGCCGUUCAAGCGCGUGGAUGUCGCGGUUGCGUCGUUGGAGGCCGGGCGAGCGCGUGUUUUCCCUUCUCUCGACUUCUCGCCACAGUUGGACUAGCUUUUCGAGGUGGGUUGAAGUUUACUGAAAUCACCAGAACAUCUUCUAAGUUUUUAUAUCGUCAACAUAUAUCAUGUGUUUAAUUUCUUGCUAGUACUCAAAUUCAUGGAUUAUGCUUAAAAUAUGAAUUUGGAGUUAAGUAGUAGUAGUAUAAUUUUACAUGUUGAACAUGGAAUUGACUUAGGAGAAAAUUGUAGAUCCUACACUGUCAGUUUCUGAAAACUAUCAGAUUUAGCUUUAGGAGCUGUGGUUUAUGUGUAUUGCCACAGUUUGUAUGCAGUAGAUACCCAAAUUAGUGUAGGAUGGGUUUAUGCUCGUGCUGGGAUGCCGAGUUUUCUACAAUAGUGUGUAGACUGUUUCCGGUUGACGGGUACCGUCGCGGUUGACGGUGGACCCAGAUUUCUGUAUUUGCAUCAAAUUGUGUCAAGAGCACGUGAGCUUUGAUUGUUAGAUUUAUUUGCUUUAAUUAUAGCCUGUGAGAGCCUGAUUGAGAUCAGCAGAGACACGCUUGCAUACUCGGUUGGGUAGCGCCCACGUGUGCCACUCCGAAGUCUGGUUUGUGCUUUUGCGUUGUUGUCGCAGCAGUCCUGUUUGGACGGUGCUUUAGGACCGGCCACCUCAAUGGUGGUGUGCGGUAUAGCUCAGACGCAGGCGGGACGGACCUAUUGGCAGUCCCUUGACAGUCCCUUGACAGUAUAGUCGUUGUUGCAGGGGAUGCAUAUCUACAGAUAGCUAAAGUUGGUUAGUGAUAGUAUAUGGGCAUAUAACUGUAGGGUUUCUAGCUUUUCUUACUAUCUCCUGCAUACCUGUCUGUAGACUUAGUGGGUGAGCCGUUGAGGUCAGUAGCGGUACACACUAAGAACUACUUCUUUUUGCAGUAGUUUCCACACCCAGUUGUUUACCCCUUUUUGCAGAGCCUCCUUCUGCGGCUGCUGCUGUCGUCGAUACUUAUCGUGGAAAGGGAGUUGCGAGCUAGAUCUCUUCCCUGAUUGCAGUUCUAGAGGAGUACCAUCUACAGGUAGUUUUGAGUUUUUGGUUCAUGUACAUACUUGCUGGUACUCGCUGGAGUAAGUGAUGUCGGUAUUUAGGAGACUAUGUAUCUAUAGUGAACUUGAUGUUUAUCUAUAUAUGUUUACAGUUCUGUUAGCAGCUCCAUACUACUAGUUAUAGUUUUGUAACAUUACAGGUACAGGUACAGCUAUCGCUUCAUAUAUAGAAAAAAAUUCUUUUAUAUACGGCGGGUCUGUUAGCGUGCCCGGAAAAACGUGGUAAUUCGGGGUGUGACAUUACGUGUGAGAAACAAAAUAUUUAAGAAACGCCAGCCGUAGAUAGGAUAUAACGAAUAUUUUAAAUUAUGACGGGAAUUACGUUUGAGAAAACGCGUAGAUAUUUGUAAAACGCGUACAUAUGAGAUAAUGGAUAUUGAGAGUAUUUUCGUCAAGAAAAGUGACAAAUACUUUUAUUUUUAAUCGUUGAAUGAGAUCGAAUGGUAAAAACUUAAGAUCUCUAUUUGAAAAUAAAUUAUUAUUUAAAAAAUUAUUUGAAACGAAUGGUUGAUAAUCACUGAACAUGAAAAUAUUAGUAGAAAAGAUAGAGAUAUUUUUGAAAAGGGAAAAAAAUUUAAAACACAUGCUUUUAUAAGUAAUAUAGAUAACUAUUUUGUCCAUAAUUAAUGUUUAAUUGGUUAUUAUAUUCAAGGGCAAAUUUGGUGUUCUAUGUGACUUUUUUUUCCAUUACUUAUUCUAAUAUAAAUAUCCAAAACAUUUUUGAGAAUAUUUUACAGGAACAGACAAAUAGCAUCUGAAUGUAAUUUACCACUUAAUCGUGAUAAUGUCAAAAUAUUUUCUAUUUAUGGGAACAAUAAAAAGUUAUUUUUCAAAGGACGGUUUCUACGACAUAAUUAAGGAUCUGUUUGAUUCCUUGGAAAAUAGUAGAAAAUUAUUUUUUGAAAAAAAAAUUUUGUGGAAAAAAAAUUUGCUACUUUCAAUUUUUUGGUUCGACGGAAAAAAAAAUUAGUUUUCCAUAUAUGCGUGUUUGGCUGGUAAGAAAAAAAAUAAAAAAUAAUUUUUUAUUUCUAUUUUACCUAUUUUGUUAGCUGAAAAUUUUGAUGUAUAAAUAUCUUCUACGAAAGGAGGAUAUUAUGAGUUGAGCUAGAACACUCUCAAAAGCACCAAGGGGGUGGUGCUUUUGAAUUUUUAACUAUUGGAUGGAGAGAUGUAGGGUUGAAAUGAUGGUGGUCAGUAGUGGUAGGUGGUGGUAGGUGAAAUAUUGUUUGAUCCAAAAGCUAUUAGUAAUCAAGGAGUAGAUCCAAGGGCUAGAAACCUAGAAGCACCAAGGAGUUGGUGCUUCUAAAAGUAUUUUAGCUCAAUUCGGAUAUUAUUAUCAACCUUUUAAAAUUUAACAUAAUACCCAUAAACUUUUUACAAUAUAAAUAAUAAAUAAUUAAAUAGGAAUAAAUUUUAACUAUAUUUUGGUUGACAACAGAGAUGGAGGCAGUGGAAAUAACGAGUUGGAUGGUAAACGUACACCAAUGUAUUAGAAAAUAAUUUUUUUUCUUUUUAUUCUUCAAAACACUUGUAAGAAGUUUUUGUUUUCCUAAAGAAAUGAAAAUCAAAAGAAAAGUUUUCUGUGAAAUAUGAAAAAAAAAUUUCAAAAAAAUCUGGUUUUCUGCGAACCAAGCACACGAGAAAAAAAAAAGAAAAAAGAAAAAAGAAAAAAAAUCAUCUGAAAAAGGUUUUUUGGAAAAUUUUCCUACGAACCAAACAGGCCCUAAGUUAUCGAGUGCAACUUUGCUCAGGAGAUCCGCAACGGUUUUUUGUUGAAACAGUCUAAUAAGCCGCAUGAUGCAUUUCACAAUCAAAUUUUAAGAUCUGAUAUCUACUCUAAAUGUUCUGGAAAACUUUGAACACCUUGUCUAUGGAUUACAAUAUUUUUCACUUUAGUUUUCUAUUUAGUUUUAACUGAAUCACAUAAGUAUUCUGUGAUUUUAUUUUUAUUUUUAAUUAUAUUUUUCAUUAACUUUUUUUGUUAGAAUAAUAACGUGUUUUGAAUCGCGCAUAUGCAUGGUGAAUCAGACAAAAAAGUAAUUCUUAACUAACCGUAUAGUAUGCAUAACAUUAAGAAUUUCAGUACUGCAACUUCUCAGGGCGUCACCCAUCAUAGGAUUACUUCCAUCCUAACACGUUUAACUCUCUUAACUUCUUAAGCCUAACCACCACCCAAAAUGUUUAAGCCGGAUUAACAGUUUAGCCCUAUUAUAUUUUAUAUAUAGAACUAUCUGGGGUUUCAUAAUCUCCCCCGUUUAAACCCUGACACCCUCGUCAGGAUCAGACUCACAACGAUUAGGUGAUGUGAGACUACUCUCGCUAGCCUUGUCAUUCUGACCCUAGCUCAGCUGAGAAUCAUCUCACAUUUCCCACUGGUAAUUGGCUCUGAUACCAACUGUGACGCUCCAACUUCCCAGAGGGUCACCCAUCUUAGGACUACUUCCGUCCUAGCACGUUUAACUCUCUUAACCUCUUGGGUCUAAUCACCAGCCAAAAUUUUUAAGCCGAGUUAAGAGUAUAGCCCUAUUAUAUUUCAUAUAUAUGACUAUCUAGGGUCUCACGGUGACACGAAAUCGUAUCGAAAACUUGUUGGCAUGGUACAGCUCUUUAGCAACAAAAUACAACUGCUUGUUAUAUAUUUUUAUCAAAUAUUUUAAAUUUUAUUUAGAAAAUUAUUUACUAAUUUAAAGUAAUUGAGAGUUUUGAGCUGUGCCAUUAACACGAGAGCUGUGUCGUGUCGAUAUCUUGCUAGAACCAUAUGGUACGGUAGAUACAAUAUGUGCAAAUGAAAGCUUUAAAUCCUUGCAUAAUAUGAUAAUAUGUAUUAAAACAAAUAAAAUAUAUUUCACUGUAUUUUCUCACCAUAAGUCAUUCUCUACUUUUCAGUUGUUACAAUAGGUUAAAAAUUCUGGGACAAUUGGUGAAUUUUAUUACGAAACAUUACUAAAGUUUGUUGACAUAUUACAUUAAUCUAUCUCUCAGUAUCUAUCUAAUUUACAAGUCAAAAUAGAUUAAAAAAAAAAUCUUCAAACGUACCAUUUUAAUCCGUUUAUAUGUCUCUACUGUAUUAAAUAUAAACGGGUUCAGCUACGAAUUUAUUUUUGUAAAAUUUUAAGAUAUUUUUGUAAAAUUUUAUAGAUUUUUUAGAAAAUUUAUAAAUUUAUUUAAGAUAUUGAUAAAAUACAGAAAAAUUAAUUUUAUUAAUUUUAAUACCAGGAGAGUAAUUCAGACCAACGUUAAUUAAAAUGUAAGGGGUCUUUCGUAAUUUAACCUUUUUCAAGAAGAUGCCGGUAAAUUAUCACCACGGAUAUGUCGCACCCAAAGUAGGAUUCAAUAAAAUUAAUUUUAAAUUUAAGUAAAAUUAAUUUUUUAAUUACGACUUUAUAUUGUUUUUUUUUUUUCUGAGAGAAAUAGAUAGCACGCUAUUCAAUUCGUUUAUUUCAUUUAAAAAUAAACUUAGCUGGAAAUGUAAAUCAACUAGAAUUCGAACUUAGGACCUCGGGUACCAACCACCAAACCCUUUGCCUCUUGCUCUAGGGACGGUCGGUAAUAUACCCCUAUAGUUAAAUUUUAUUUGUGAACGGUUAGAGCAAUAGUCGUUAUCUCUGUGAAAUUACUAUUUUGCCCUUUCCAAUAUACUUUUUUACUAUCACUAACUUUUCUUAUUUGCCCUUAAGUUAGGGAUAAAAAAGUAUUUUGAUUUUUGAUCUUUUCAAAUAUACCAUUCUACCAUCAUCAAUUUUUCUUAUUUGCCCUUAAGUUAAAGAUAAAAGAAGUAUUUUGAUUUUUUUAAACUCCGGUAGACAUUUAACUCACGUUUAACCCGAGAUAACUUAACGGAUGGUAACUACAUGGGUAUUUUUGAAUAACGGAGAAACAUAUGAAGAGUAUAAUGGAAAAAAAAAAAAAGAAGAAAAAAAGUAGAGAUAAAUUAGAUAUUUUCGAAGUUUUGAAAUGUAUAUAGGCAAUUAUCCCUGAUAGUUGUAUAUAUAUUAUAGAUGAGGAGGACUAUUUCAGAAUAGCAUAUAGGUGAAGGGGUCUCCGUAAAGUUUUAACUAAGAAAAAUAUAACAUAAUAAUAGAAAAAAAAUGGAACUAAUUAAUAUGUACAAAAACUUGCAUAAGAUGAUGAUUCUAUUAUUAUGAACAGAUACUUGUAUCCUAAAAUAAAAACAUAUUGGGUUUGAUCGAUUCAGUAAAUCAAUUUUAUUCAAAAUUGUAAUGGUACCACAAAAUUCAAAUUUUCAAAAUUGGUGAACAACAUACUGAUGUUUUUCGAUUCAAUUUUUCGUUGGCACGAUUCGCUAUUCGAUUUUCUCGGUACAGAUGAACAUCCCCUACGUUAAACUACGUUAGCAAGCGUAAGAAAUUCCAACAAAAUAAAAUUUUCAAUUAUUUAUAAUUUGACAUAUCUCAUUUUAGUGACACGGAGUGGAUCUGAUUUUGUAAGGACUGAGAUUUUUGACAGUGCAAUUAAACUCUCUGUUGAUGACGUUUAUGUGUGUAAUUUAAUUACAUAAGCACUCGUCAAGUUUCGGACGAAAAUGAGCUAAAAUGGAGAAGAUACGCGAUUUUUAGUUUUCACUUAAGUGAAUAGUAACUCUGGUUUUCCGGAGAAGCCACGGAGUAAAGUUGGCUUCUGGUGCGUAUCGGACUCCGUUCAUAGCGAUCCAAUAGCUCGUUUUGAACGGUUCAGCUAUUCUGGAACCAAUGGCACUGUCGGAUUUCAGAUCCGAUGCACGAUUUUCGAGAAAAAGGAGUUUUAAGAAAAGAGGGUUUCCGCUCUUUGCUAUUCGUGCAUUUUAAGACUCCUCGUGCUCUACGUUUGUGACCUGGGGUUAGGUGAGAGUUGUUUCUGGUACCUACUGGUGGUAGGGAAUUCAAAUUUGAAUUUGAAUUAUAGGUUUUAGGGUUUAUACAUAGGUCUAUGUGUAAUUUGUGGAUUAGUUGGAGAGCAGAUGGGUUUGGUCGCAAAUCGGCAAGUAAAUCGGAUGAAACGAAAUCGUAGUUUCAUUGCCUUCAUCGUGCUGAACGCGAUGGUGCAAUCCGUUCAGAAAUCCGAUGAACGGAUUGCUGGAUAUUGCAUGAAGUUCGCUAGGGGGUCGAGAGUGGAAAAUCGGGAAAUUCGCAAAAGUCGUAAUAUUUUAUGUACCGUAUCGCGCGAGAUCGAUUGUGGAGGUGUAAAAGCGCGAUUGUUACCCACUAUGAAGGACUGGGUAAGAAAUACCAAGCUUCGGUGGACUUUUGUGCAAAAUUGCACUUAGUNAGCUUAGAUAGUUAUAUGGUUCAGUAUUUUUAUUACAUUUGAAAAUAUGGAUUUUCGUAAAUGUAAUAAACGGAUUUCUGGAUUUUGUAAAAUAAAAGGUUUUCUACCCCUCGUGGUAGCGUUUUUAAAGAAUAAAGGUUUCCGUGUAGGAAACAGUUUUCAAAAGGUUUUCUGUAGAUUUUGCAUCUUAGUAUUUCAAAACAUGUUUCUGUGGUUGGAAACAUUUUAACUGAUAGAUGUGGAUUUAUCUUUACAUAUCGAAUAUAUAAAUGUGAACCUGUGAUGUGAAUGGUAUAUGAAUAUAUAAUUGUUGGUUAUUUGUAUGUUCAUUUGGUUGUGGUUGUACCUGGGUUACUUCUUGUACUUGUGUGACGCCGUGCAAAUACAGGGGAGACUCUGUCCGUGUGAACAGUGAAUUCCCUGUGUUUGUGGCGGAUCUGACAUACUCUGGGGUCAGGCUUUUCAAAAAAAAAAAAAAAUUUAGACGCUUUUUCCGCUGUGUUCAAAUAAAAAGGGACCCCGGGGCGUGACAGAUUUGUAGGUAAUGGAUCUAAAGAAUCAGUGAUUUCGUUUGUUUAUUUCACUGAAAGUAAAAUUCAGAUUGAAGUAAACCUUUAGACGAAUUAAAAUUUAUGUAAAAGUUACUUUCUCCCGUUGUUUGUUCUUAUUUCAGUUCUGUUAUUAAGCGAAUGACGUAAAAACUAAAAUUUUUUUGUUAAUAUUUUAUUUUCUGU
This 29650-nucleotide long non-coding RNA is filed under the name Ananas comosus (pineapple). RNAcentral's name for it is "long non-coding RNA (ACOM_LNC009292)". Lineage: Eukaryota; Viridiplantae; Streptophyta; Magnoliopsida; Poales; Bromeliaceae. The record is from RNAcentral.